Molecule: long non-coding RNA, 633 nt
Organism: Equus caballus (horse)
Lineage: Eukaryota; Metazoa; Chordata; Mammalia; Perissodactyla; Equidae
Source: RefSeq, a predicted model, not a curated record
AACCCUCAGCUAGCUUUCACCCUCUGCUUGGCUCUCAGGACCCUGACAGGCAGGAGUGACUUGCAGGGCAGGAUUUGGUAACUCUUGAGUUCUGGCUGAAAUACCAUAUAACAGCAUCAAAAACCUCUCCUAACACGGAACAAUACGGGAAGGGGACUAUUAAUAAGAGGAGGACUGCUGCGAUCAGGGAGAAGGACACACAAAGAGCGAGCAGUGAGCUUCUGCACAGAGGAGCUGAGCUUCAAAUCUGGCUCUGAGCCUUUCCCCAGCCAGGGUGAAGGAGGAAAUGCACUGCAUAUGUCUGGUACGUGGCAAAUCGACAUCAUGCACUAAAUAUUGAUUCAGUUUCUCUCCUUUCAACUGGAAGUCUUCUGGAGCUCCCGGCAGCAUAGAGGAGAAGAUUCAGUACUGCUCUUGAACCAUCGGGCUGGUUGCUCUCCUGUUGUGAAGCUACUCCUGGGGCAUCUAGGUGGUACCUCUUCUAAGUCAAAGCACAUCCUGGGACCUGCAGUGGCCAUUAACCAGCAAGUGUUUACUGAGUACAUUAAUGUGCACUGCUCUUUAUGAAAAUGAAAAAAAAUUGUUGGCUCUUAGUUCUGUUCCUUUUAAGUAAGAAAUAAAUGUUCUAAGUUA